AUGCAAGUCGAGGGGUAACAGGGUGCUUGCACCGCUGACGACCGGCGCACGGGUGCGUAACGCGUAUACAAUCUACCUUAUAGAGGGGGAUAGCCCAGAGAAAUUUGGAUUAAUACCCCAUAGUAUUAUGAAAUAGCAUUAUUUUAUAAUUAAACAUUUAUGGCUAUAAGAUGAGUAUGCGUUCUAUUAGUUAGUAGGUAAGGUAACGGCUUACCUAGACUUCGAUAGAUAGGGGUCCUGAGAGGGAGAUCCCACACACUGGUACUGAGACACGGACCAGACUCCUACGGGAGGCAGCAGUGAGGAAUAUUGGACAAUGGGCGAGAGCCUGAUCCAGCCAUGCCGCGUGCAGGAAGACGGCCCUAUGGGUUGUAAACUGCUUUUACAGAGGAAGAAACACUCCCUUGCGAGGGAGCUUGACGGUACCCUGCGAAUAAGGAUCGGCUAACUCCGUGCCAGCAGCCGCGGUAAUACGGAGGAUCCAAGCGUUAUCCGGAAUCAUUGGGUUUAAAGGGUCCGUAGGCGGGACAAUCAGUCAGCGGUGAAAGUCUGCGGCUCAACCAUAGAAUUGCCAUUGAUACUGUUGUUCUUGAAUACUUAUGAAGUGGUUGGAAUAUGUAGUGUAGCGGUGAAAUGCAUAGAUAUUACAUAGAACACCGAUUGCGAAGGCAGAUCACUAAUAAUUUAUUGACGCUGAUGGACGAAAGCGUAGGUAGCGAACAGGAUUAGAUACCCUGGUAGUCUACGCCGUAAACGAUGGUUACUAGCUGUUCGGGAGCAAUCCUGAGUGGCUAAGCGAAAGUGAUAAGUAACCCACCUGGGGAGUACGUUCGCAAGAAUGAAACUCAAAGGAAUUGACGGGGGCCCGCACAAGCGGUGGAGCAUGUGGUUUAAUUCGAUGAUACGCGAGGAACCUUACCAGGGCUUAAAUGUAGUUUGACCGAUUUGGAAACAGAUCUUUCGCAAGACAAAUUACAAGGUGCUGCAUGGUUGUCGUCAGCUCGUGCCGUGAGGUGUCAGGUUAAGUCCUAUAACGAGCGCAACCCCUGUUGUUAGUUGCCAUCGAGUAAUGUCGGGAACUCUAACAAGACUGCCAGUGCAAACUGUGAGGAAGGUGGGGAUGACGUCAAAUCAUCACGGCCCUUACGUCCUGGGCCACACACGUGCUACAAUGGUAGGGACAGAGAGCAGCCACUGCGCAAGCAGGAGCGAAUCUAUAAACCCUAUCUCAGUUCGGAUCGGAGUCUGCAACUCGACUCCGUGAAGCUGGAAUCGCUAGUAAUCGCAUAUCAGCCAUGAUGCGGUGAAUACGUUCCCGGGCCUUGUACACACCGCCCGUCAAGCCAUGGAAGCUGGAAGCACCUGAAGUCCGUCACCGCAAGGAG
RNAcentral lists this ribosomal RNA (1385 nucleotides) under Flavobacterium sp. enrichment culture clone BF64A_C59. Its description in RNAcentral is "16S ribosomal RNA". It matches the Rfam family "Bacterial small subunit ribosomal RNA". Lineage: Bacteria; Pseudomonadati; Bacteroidota; Flavobacteriia; Flavobacteriales; Flavobacteriaceae. The record is from RNAcentral.